Molecule: ribosomal RNA, 253 nt
Filed under: uncultured bacterium
Lineage: Bacteria
Description: partial 16S ribosomal RNA
Rfam family: Bacterial small subunit ribosomal RNA
Source: RNAcentral
UACGUAGGGGGCAAGCGUUGUCCGGAUUUAUUGGGCGUAAAGAGCGUGUAGGCGGCCUGACAGGUCUGCUGUGAAAACUCGAGGCUCAACCUCGAGAUGUCGGCGGAAACCGUCUGGCUAGAGUCCGGAAGAGGAGAGUGGAAUUCCUGGUGUAGCGGUGAAAUGCGUAGAUAUCAGGAGGAACACCUGUGGCGAAAGCGGCGCACUGGACCAUAACUGACGCUGAUGCGCGAAAGCUAGGGGAGCAAACAGG